AAAGUCGUAACAAGGUUUCCGUAGGUGAACCUGCGGAAGGAUCAUUAAAAAGUACCGAGUGGCUUCGCGCCACGGGUUAAUGCACCGAUGCCCCAUGGGCAUGUGACGUGUAAAACUACUUGUUGAAACACCUUAUUUAUGCUUCGGUUGCACCUUCCGUCUAACCGCGGUUGGGUAAGUCGGCCAGAGGCAAACUUUUAAAACUAGUUGAUGAAAUGUCAUGCUGUCUGAUACUGUUUAGUAUUUGAGAAAUCGAAUAUUUGUUAAAACUUUCAGCAACGGAUCUCUUGGUUCUC
Molecule: unclassified non-coding RNA, 296 nt
Filed under: Ascomycota sp.
Lineage: Eukaryota; Fungi; Ascomycota
Description: partial contains small subunit ribosomal RNA, internal transcribed spacer 1, and 5.8S ribosomal RNA
Rfam family: Eukaryotic small subunit ribosomal RNA (bases 1-47)
Source: RNAcentral